Molecule: ribosomal RNA, 253 nt
Filed under: uncultured bacterium
Lineage: Bacteria
Description: partial 16S ribosomal RNA
Rfam family: Bacterial small subunit ribosomal RNA
Source: RNAcentral
UACAGAGGUCUCAAGCGUUGUUCGGAUUCAUUGGGCGUAAAGGGCGCGUAGGCGGGUGAUCAAGUCCGGGGUGAAAUCCUUCAGCUCAACUGGAGAAUAGCCUUGGAUACUGGUCGCCUCGAGGGAGGUAGGGGCGGGCGGAACUUCCGGUGGAGCGGUGAAAUGCGUAGAUAUCGGAAGGAACGCCGGUGGCGAAAGCGGCCCGCUGGACCUCUUCUGACGCUGAGGCGCGAAAGCCAGGGGAGCGAACGGG